Small nucleolar RNA from Carya illinoinensis, 107 nucleotides. The record is from RefSeq and is a predicted model, not a curated record. NCBI's taxonomy places the organism in Eukaryota, Viridiplantae, Streptophyta, Magnoliopsida, Fagales, Juglandaceae.
AAUCCGUGGUGAAGGCAAUGUCGAAUCAAAUCUUUAUACAUUUUCCAUGCUUCAUAGAGUAACUCGGAAUCAUUUUGCUUGAAUUGACUAAUCUCACUCCUAAGUUU